UACGGAAGGGGCAAGCGUUGUCCGGAUUUAUUGGGCGUAAAGAGCUCGUAGGCGGUUCGGCAAGUCGAAUGUGAAAUCUCCACGCUCAACGUGGAGGGGUCAUUCGAUACUGCCGUGACUUGAGUACGGUAGGGGAGUGUGGAAUUCCCGGUGUAGCGGUGAAAUGCGCAGAGAUCGGGAGGAACACCCGUAGCGAAGGCGGCACUCUGGGCCGAUACUGACGCUGAGGAGCGAAAGCGUGGGGAGCGAACAGG
This 254-nucleotide ribosomal RNA is filed under the name uncultured bacterium. RNAcentral's name for it is "partial 16S ribosomal RNA". It matches the Rfam family "Bacterial small subunit ribosomal RNA", at positions 524 to 776 of the family's 1533-position model. The record is from RNAcentral.